UGCUCACCUACCCCUAGAUCCCUGUAUAAGGAGGCGCCCAUUUCUGGCGAAGCGCUUAGGCUUCGGAGCACAACUCCACUGAGCCCUCCAGCGUAAUUAAAGGUUUGUCUCCACCUCUUCAAGUGACUUUCGGAUUCUCAAGUCUUCGAAUUGCAGCAGCAGCGGAUGCGUAUAGCACCGAGCUCUUCACCUUUGCCACAACAGGAUGAAUCUACGUAGAUGGCUUAUUGCCUGGAUGGCCUAAGACCUAAAGAAGGAUGGGUCCGCUUCUGUUCUUCUUCAGCAAAGCUCCAGUCUUCGCCUUCACCUUGGUCGUCAUCUCCUCCUGGCUUCCAGCAUAGACGCUUCAGCUUCCAGUGCAGAUCCAUCAGCCUUUCGGAGUAGACUCUUCACACAUCCGUCGCAGACCCAUCGGCCUCCUGACACAAACUCACACAGGACACUGCAGUGAGCUCCAGAGCUUCGACUGGAUCCUUUGGUCUCCAGGGUCCAGACAGACCCUCUGCCCUCUUCCUCAUCUGACUCUGUGGGUGGCCACUGGCAUGCAGCUCCUGCUUUGGUGGGCCUUCACUUGUGGACUGUGGCUUAUGAACUGAGUGAGUUGUGGACUGUGGGCUUGUGGACUGAGCCAGCUGUCACACCAUAGACCAGAUGCUACUGCUUGCCAGAAAGCCUGGUACUUGUCGCAGAAAUGAGAGGUCAAAUAUGAGGACUUAGCUGAGAAAGCUGUCUAGUGGGAUACUGCUUACAGCUUCUGCAUGGAAAGUUCACAGCAAUUGGGAGAAAUGGAG
Molecule: long non-coding RNA, 791 nt
Organism: Heterocephalus glaber (naked mole-rat)
Lineage: Eukaryota; Metazoa; Chordata; Mammalia; Rodentia; Bathyergidae
Source: Ensembl